RNAcentral lists this long non-coding RNA (1282 nucleotides) under Bos indicus x Bos taurus (hybrid cattle). RNAcentral describes it as "lncRNA (ENSBIXG00000017313.1)". The record is from RNAcentral. Lineage: Eukaryota; Metazoa; Chordata; Mammalia; Artiodactyla; Bovidae.
AUGCAGACUUCUGAUCUGCACGUCGUCCGGGAGAGGGCAGGAGGCCAGCUCGCCUAUUCAGUUCAGUUCAACGAUUAUGUGAAAUAUUUAACUGCCUAUCUCUUCCAGGCCUGCCCCACUGGCAGGGGCCAAGAGACAAAGAAGAGAAAGGAGCUGCAGUUUUGUAACCCCAGAAGCACCCAGCCCCAGGCUCUGCAAGGGGGGACUCUCCGGCUUGAGAACCUGCUUUCUGCUGAAAGACCACCACUUGCUGAGAACCCCAGGGAUUCACCCUCAAGCUAGGGCCACACCCCCUCUAUUCCUAUCUCCUUUGUGGCUGCCUCUGAACCGUCUGAAGCUCUGUGUGGGAGGGUGAAGACUGGGUAGGGCCCAGGAAACUCAAGGAGAAAUACACAGAAACCACCCCACAGGCCAGUGGCCUCCUUUGUCCUGUUCCCCAGGACAGGCCACUCCAGGGAAAAAGACAGUCACCUUUGCGGUCUGAGCUCUCCCCAGAAACGCCAACAGACGCUAGAAACACCAGGGAGCCCUGCGGGUCCCCCACGCCUACACCCGUGGGGGCUUCCCCCACUCCUGGCCCCUGGUAUUCCCAUUCAGCCAAGCUGAGGAUGUGGGAAGCUUCUCCUGCCACGACAGAGGCACCAUCCUUCCUGCUGCUGGCUCCCAUCGUCCCUCAUGACUCCAAACAUUCUUGGGCCUCCAGUGAGAAGCCAAGCCUGCCACCGGCCGCCCAGCCCUGCUCCUGUCAGCACAGCCUAGGCCUGGAGGAGGGUGGGUGGGGGGGAAUAAGAGGGAGUGAGUGGAGGAGACAGAACAGAGGAGGGGAGGAGACAGCAAUGGGAGAGACAGAACAGAGACACUGAGAGAAACUGAGAAAGAAAAGGAAUGACGUAGGAGAAAAAAGAAAAGGAACUCAUAUUUUAUUGAGUGAAAGCUACGUAUCAUGCAAGUGCCAGGCCCCUGUUAAUUAUAAUCAUUUGGUCAUGCAAACGCUAUCGUUCUUCUUCCCAUUUGGUAGAGAAGGAAACUGAGGCUUGCAGAAGCUGGGUGGGCAUUCUGCUCUUAGAAAAGAGGGCAGGAGAACGCUGAGAGAGAAAAAAGGAGCAGGCAGGCAAAGGAAGAAUGCUGACCAUGAGGAAAGUGGAGGGCUGCAGUGGGAAACAGGCAGAACAGGAGGAAGCAGAGAGGGGUGGGGGAGCUGGCUGCUGGCUGAUGCCCGGCUCGUGGGAGCAGACCUGAGGUAUUCCUGACCUCCUGCCCUUCCCCUCAGGGCCAUCUGACU